Molecule: long non-coding RNA, 447 nt
Filed under: Arachis ipaensis
Lineage: Eukaryota; Viridiplantae; Streptophyta; Magnoliopsida; Fabales; Fabaceae
Description: long non-coding RNA (AIPA_LNC002068)
Source: RNAcentral
UAUAAAAAUAUUCCUAUAGAAUCUUGAGGAACGGGAGAAUUUAAUCGUAAAUAUCGACUAAUUCUUACGAAGUACAAAUCAAAAAGAAGUCUAAAAAAAAAGAUCAAUUUCAUCUAUAUCGAAUUUGAAUAUCAGAAUAGUAGAUAUAGUUUUGUUUCGAAUUUUCUCUUUUUUUGGAAUGGAAUAUUUACAGAAUCCCCAUGAAUAGGACUAAACCUUAUUCCAUGGUAUUUACAUAAGAUUCCUCUUUCUUAUUCUUCUUAUUCUUAAGCAAGUCCCCGAGAGGGCUUAGUUGAUCCAUGAUUUAUGUUUCGUCUUUCGUUUCCUUUUCGUUUGUUUCGAGAGAUAUAUUGAUCACUUCCGAUUCUUUUUCCAUUGAUUCUUUUCCGAUCGAGAUGUAUGGAUCCAUGGGUCUAUGUGUCUAUAUAGAUCCUAUUCAUGGAUUAA